Molecule: signal recognition particle RNA, 299 nt
Filed under: Saimiri boliviensis boliviensis (Bolivian squirrel monkey)
Lineage: Eukaryota; Metazoa; Chordata; Mammalia; Primates; Cebidae
Description: Metazoan signal recognition particle RNA (ENSSBOG00000000138.1)
Rfam family: Metazoan signal recognition particle RNA
About the family: The signal recognition particle (SRP) is a universally conserved ribonucleoprotein. It is involved in the co-translational targeting of proteins to membranes. The eukaryotic SRP consists of a 300-nucleotide 7S RNA and six proteins: SRPs 72, 68, 54, 19, 14, and 9.
Source: RNAcentral
GCCGGGCACGGUGGCACGUGCCUGUAGUCCCAGCUACUCGGGAGGCUGAGGCUGGAGGGUCUCUUGAGCCCAGGAGUUCUGGGCUGCAGUGCACUAUGCCGAUCGGGUGUCCACACUAAGUCUGACAUCAAUAUGGUGACCUCCCAGGGGCGGGGAACCACCAGGUUGCCUAAGGAGGGGUGAACCGGCCCAGGUCGGAAACGGAGCAGGUCAAAACUCCCGUGCUGAUCAGUAGUGGGAUCGCGCCUGUGAAUAGCCACUGCACUCCAGCCUGGGCAACAUAGCGAGACCCCAUCUCU